Trachemys scripta elegans is the source of this 474-nucleotide long non-coding RNA. RefSeq lists it as uncharacterized. NCBI's taxonomy places the organism in Eukaryota, Metazoa, Chordata, Testudines, Emydidae. The transcript has 2 exons. The record is from RefSeq and is a predicted model, not a curated record.
UGCAAAAUACAGAGCUGGGCUUUCCUAAGCAGAACUCUGGGAUCAGCCAGCACAGCUUCAUUUUCAUAUCUUAAGUUCUCAUGUUCAGUUUUGCCACAGUGUCCUUUAUGCUGUGCACUCAAACAGCACAACAAAGAGGAAAUACUGCUUUAAAUGAUCUUGCUGCUCGUCCCGAAUCCACAUAUUGCAAUGCACUGCACAUCGCAGCUAGCAACUCCUGUCGUGCUUUGGCGCAAUAUGCAACGUGGGAUAAUGUAAUAGAGAAGACAAGCACAGCACAAGGCACUGAAAGCCAUAAGAAGCACAGAAAACUUACGUUUCUGGUAUGCAGCAGUACAGAUAUUUGAAAGGGCUGCAUAUGAGAAUGAAACAGCUGGAGAUAUACCUUCACAAAACCCCUUGGGAUGCUUCUUAGUCAUUUCUCCAUUGUAUGCAGUUUUGGUUUAAUAAAUUGGUAAUAAUAUUAUGAUUAAA